GGCAGAUCACCAUGACUGAAGUGGUAGCAGGGAAGACUGUGACAAGCGCUGAAAGAAUCAAGGUCGUUGGGGCACUCUUGCAACAGGCCUUCUGGCACUAUGGCCUUCCGGAGGAUAUCGUCUCUGACCGUGGCCUGCAAUUCCUGUCACGAAUAUGGAAAGCCUUCAUGGAGAAGCUGGGGGUCAUGGUCAGUCUAACUUCCGGGUAUCGGCCUCAGUACUAUGGGCAGGUGGAUAGGAUGAACCAGGAACUGGGGAGGUUCCUUAGGAGUCACUGACAGGAUCGGCAGGGGGUGUGGGCCCAGUUAUUUCCCUGGGCGGAGUACGCCAAGAAUUCCCUACGUCACUCCUCCACUGGGCUGACCCCCAUCCAGUGUGUCCUGCAGUAUCAGCUGGCCCUGGAUCCGUGGACCCCGAGCCAGACCGAAGCUCCUACGGUGGACGAGUGGUUCAUGCACGCAGAGAAGGUUUGGAACAAUGCACACGUGAGGCUCCAGCAUGCUGUCCGCCGCCAGAAAGAUCAGACGGACCGCCACCUCAGUGAGGCUCCCGUGUUCCAUCCUGGUGAUCGCAUCUGGCUCUCCACCAGGAACCUCUCCCUCUGCCUGCCCUGUAGGAAGAUGAGCUUCUGGUUUGUGGGGGCCUUGAAGGUCCUCCUGGAGGGUGAAUGAGGUAACCUAUAAAUUACAACUCCCCACUAACUACCAAAUCUCACCCUCUUUUCAUGUUUUCCUCCUCAGGCCGGUGGUUCCUGGUUCCCCGCGACACCCCUCCAACUCCCCUGGACAUCGAUGGGAGCAAACGUCGUGGGGGACGGUCUCAGGACCUGGUGGACUGGAAAGGGUAAGGUCCAGAGGAGCGCUGGGGAUGGGUUACUGUUGCGCCUACUCCCCCUCUCCCGCUCCAGCACACGACGUCGCCAGUCUACUAACCACCGGUCCUGACGACCCACAUUACUCACACCUGGUAACCAUCAUUGUGCACACCUUCUCCCCAUCGUUACGCACACCUGGACUUCAUCACCCUGAUUACUCUCCCUUUAUUUAGCUCUCAGUAGCCUUAGUUUUCAGGCAGUAUUGGUUUUGUUUACGUUCAGUACGCUACUCUUGUUUUGAUUAUCUUCAUGUUUCUAGUUAUUAAACUCAUCUUCUGCACCUGCUUCCUAACUUCCUAACUACGUUACACAUUCAUUUGUGAAUGCAAUUUCCGAAAUGGAAUGGUUUAGGCCUAUUUAUUGUUUACGCUAAUUAUUCAAUGGUCACUUUAUUUUAUUUUAAGUCUAAAAUGCUUGAUUACUGUUAAAAUCAUGAAUGACUCAUAUACUGUGUGAUGACAUGAACAAAGAAAUUAUUGAUCCUUUAUUAUUAACUAGGCAAGUCAGUUAAGAGCAAAUUCUUAUUUACAAUGACAGCUGACAGUGGGUUAACUGCAUUGUUCAGGGGCAGAAGGACAGAUUUUUACCUUGUCAGCUCAGGGAUUUGAUCCAGCAGCCUUUCGGUUCCUGGCCGAACGCUCUAACCACUAGGCUACAUGCCACCCCACAAUUUAUACAGUAGGCUAUAUAAGGUAAUAUAGGCCUUAAUAAGUUACGGAAUUAAGACUAAACAGGAUGUGCUCUUAAGCCUACAGCUCGAUGGUGGUUAUAAAAGGCUGCUAUACUAAGCCUACUAAUGACAUUACUUAUUAUUAUAAUGAUCAUCAUUAUAACAAUAGUGUCACACCCUGACCUUAGAGAGCCGUUUUAUUCCUCCUGUGAUUUGGGGUGGGCAUUCUAUGUUGUCUAUUUCUUUGUUUUUGGCCGAGUAUGGUUCCCAAUCAGAGGCAGCUGUCUAUCGCUGUCUCUGAUUGGGGAUCAUACUUAGGCAGCCUUUUUUCCCACUUUCUGUUGUGGGAUCUUGUUUUUGUUAGUUGCUGGUUUAGCGCUACAUUACUUUACGUGUCGUAUAUCUUUCUUGUUUUUUGGGUUGUUCAUUUAAUAAAUAUAGAAUGUACGCCUACCACAUUGCACCUUGGUCUCCAUCUCUAAACGACCGUAAUAGAAGAUCCCACCACCAAAGGACCAAGCAGCGUGGUCAGGAGGAAUGGACCCAGGAGGAGAUCUUAGAUAGGAAAGGACCCUGGGUGCAGGCUGGAGAGUAUCGCCUUCCGAAGGAGGAGAUGGAGGCAGCUAAAGCGGAACGGCGACGUUACGAGGAGUUGGCUCAACGAAGCAAGCACAAGAGGCAACCCCCAAAAACAAAUUUGGGGGGAAGCACACGGGGAGUUUGACGAAGUUAGGGUUGAGACCUGAGCCAACUCCCUGUGUUUACCGUGGGGAGCGAGUGACUGGUCAAGCACCAUGUUAUCCGGUUCUGCGCACCAUGCCUUCGGUGCGAAAGCCACAGCCCAGUGCGCUCUCUGCAAGCUCCUCGCAGUUGCCGUGCUAGAGUGGGAAUUCAGCCAGGGGGGAUUGUGCUGGCUCAGCAUUCCUGGCCUUCGGUGCGUCUCUUUGGCCCAGGUUAUCCUGCACCAGCUCUACGCACGGUAUCCCCAGUUUGCCAGCACAACCCAGUGCGGCCUGCUCCAGCUCCCCGCAUUUGCCGGGCCACGGGGGGUAUCCAGCCAGGACGAGUUGUGCCAGCUCUGCGCUCCAGACCUCCGGUGCGCCUCCACGGUCCAGUGUGUCCAGCGCUGGCUCUACGCACUAUGCCUCCAGUGCGCCGUCAUAGCCCAGUGCAUCCGGUGCCAGCUCUCCACACUCACCGAGCUAGAGUGGGUAUCCAGCCAGGACGUGUUGUGGCAGCUCCACUCACUAGGCUGCCUGUACGUCUCCUCAGACCGGUGAGACCUGUUCCGGCUCCACGUAUGAAGCCUCCAGUGAUGAUCCAUGGCCCGGAGCCUCCAGUGAUGAUCCAUGGCACGAAGCCUGUAGUGGUAAUCCAUGGCACGAAGCCUCCAGUGAUGAUCCAUGGCCCAGAGCCUGUAGCGAUGUUCCAUGGCAAGGAGCCUGCAGUAACGGAUCCCAGUCCGGAGCCUGCAGCGACGGUCCCCAGUCCCAAGCCUCCAGCGACGGUCCGCAGUCCGGAGUCUCCAGCGAUGGUCCGCAGUCCAGAGUCUUCAGCAACAAGCUGCAGUCCAGAGCCUCCAGCGGGGGUUCCCAGUCCAGAGUCUCCAGCAAUGAUCUGCAGUCCGGAGCCUCCAGCGAUGUUUCCCAGUUCAGAGUCUCCAACGUAGAUCCACGGUCCGGUUCCACAGAAGCGAAGGGAUCAGCAUAGGGAGCGGGGGCUAUGUCCCGAACCGGAGCCGCCACCGAGGGUAGAUGCCCACCCGGACCCUCCCCUAUAGGUUCAGGUCUGCGGCCGGGAGUCCGCACCUUUGGGGGGGGGGAAUACUGUCACGCCCUGUCCUUGGGUUGUUCAUUUAAUAAAUUCAGAAUGUACGCCUACCACGCUGCACCUUGGUCUCCAUCUCUAAACGACCGUAGCAAAUAGUAAUAAUAAGAAGGAGAUCAAGGAAAACGGAGGGUCAUUAUUAUAAUUUUUUAAAUUCUGACCAUUUGGAACAGUGUAAACACUAAAUUAAUUAUAAAUAAUACCAGCUCUUGGGAGUUAUAGAAAUAACAACACUCAAAUAUAUUGGUUAUGCUUUGUAUUCUAAACUGUAUCAGACAUGCGUGUGUCCUGUUCUGGACUAUUCAGCAGGAGUGUGGGGUGCCAAGAGGUAUUUAAAAAAAUAAACAUGUCCAUAACAGAGCAAUACAUGACUGUUAAUAUGCCUUGUCUACUGUUGUUUUGGUUAGUUCUUAUUGUUUUAUUUCACUGUAGACCCCCCAGUCCCCCUCAACAUGCCUUAGAUAGCUCUUUUGCCUCACGCAUGAGGAGACCUCACCUGGCUUAACUAGUGCCUCCAGAGAUGUAACCUCUCUCAUUGUUACUCAAUGCCUAGGUGUUAACUCCACUGUACUCACAUCCUACCAUACUCUUGUCUGUACAUUAUACCCUGAAUCUAUUCUACCACGCCCAGAAAUCUGCGUCUUUUAUUCUCUGUUCCCAAUGCACUAGACGACCAGUUCUUAUAGCCUUUAGCUGUACCCUUAUCCUAAUCCUCCUCUGUUCCUCUGGUGAUGCAGAGGUUAACCCAGGCCCUGUAGCCCCCAGUACUACACCUAUUCCCCAGGCGCUCUCAUUUGUUGACUUCUGUAACCAUAAAAGCCUUGGUUUCAUGCAUGCUCCAGGUCAUCUAUAAGUCUUUGCUAGGUAAAGCCCCGCCUUAUCUCAGCUCACUGGUCACCAUAGCAACACCCACCCGUAGCAAGCGAUCCAGCAGGAAUAUUUCACUGGUCAUCCCCAAAGCCAACACUUCCUUUGCCCCCCUUUCCUUCCAGUUCUCUGCUGCAAAUGACUGGAACGAAUUGCAUAAGUCACUGAAGCUGGAGACAUAUCUCCCUCACUAACUAUAAGCAUUAGCUGUCAGAGCAGCUUACCGAUCACUGCAAGUGUACACAGCCCAUCUGUAAAUAGCCCACCCAACUACCUCAUCCCCAUAUUGUUAUUUUUUGCUCUUUUGCACCCCAGAAUUUCUACUUGCACAUCAUCAUCUGCAUAUCUGUCACUCCAGUGUUAAUGCUAAAUUGUAAUUAUUUUGCCACUAUGGCAUAUUUAUUGCCUUAUCUCCUUAAUCUUCUACAUUUGCACACACUGUUCAUAGAUUUUUCUAUUGUGUUAUUGACUGUACGUUUGUUUAUUCCAUGUAUAACUCUGUGUUGUUGUUUUUGUCGCACUGCUUUGCUUUAACUUGGCCAGGUCGCAGUUUUAAAUUAAAACUUGUUCUCAACUGGCCUACCUGGUUAAAUAAAGGUGAAAUAAUAAAAAAAAGCCUUUGUUUUUUUUCUUCCCAUAUUUAUUUAUUUUACCUUUAUUUAACUAGGCAAGUCAGAUAAGAACAAAUUCAUAUUUUCAAUCACGGCCUAGGAACAGUGGGUUAACUUCCUUGUUCUGUGGAGAACGACAGAUUUUUACCUUGUCAGCUCAGGGAUACAAUCUUGCAACCUUUACGGUUACUAGUCCAACGCUCUAGCCACUAGGCUGCGUGCAUGCGUGCACUACCAUUCAAAAGUUUGGGGUCACUUUGAAAAAGCACAUUUUUGGUCUAUUAAAAUAACAUAAAAUUGAUCAGAAAUACAGUGUAGACAUUGUACAAUGUAAAUGACUAUUGUAGCAGGAAACGGCUGAUUAAAAAAAGGUUGAAUAUCUACGUAGGCGUACAGAGGCCCAGAAACAAAGUACUUUCUUCUGAAACUAAUCAGUCUAUUCUUGUUCUGAGAAAUUAAUGCUAUUCUAUGUGAGAAAUUGCCAAGAAACUGAAGAUCUUGUACAAUGCUGUGCACUACUCCCUUCACAGAACAGCGCAAACUGAAUAGAAAGAGGGGCAGAAAGAGUUGCCGGAGGCCCAGGUGCACAUCUGAGCAAGAGCACAAGUACAUUAAAGUAGUCUAGUUUGAGAUACAGACGCCUCACAAGUCCUCAACUAGCAGCUUCAAUAAAUAGUACCUGCAAAACACAAGUCUCGACGUCGACAGUGAAGAGGCGACUCCGGGAUGCUGGCCUUCUAGGCAGAGUUCCCCUGACCUGUGUCUGUGUUCUUUUGCUCAUCUUGAUCUUUUCUUUUCAUUGGCCGUUCUGAGAGUUGGCUUUUAUUUUGCAUCUCUGCCUAGAAGGCCAGCAUCCCGGAGUCGCCUCUUUAAAUCAAAUCAAAUCAAAGUUUGUUUGUCACAUGCGCUGAAUACAACAGGUGUAGUAGACCUUACAGUGAAAUGUUUACUUACAGGCUCUAUCCAAUAGUGCAAAAAAGGUAUUAGGUGAACAAUAGGUGGGUAAAGAAAUAAAACAACAGUAAAAAGACAGGCUAUAUACAAUAGCGAGACUAUAAAAGUAGCGAGGCUACAUACAGACACCGGUAAGUCAGGCUGAUUGAGGUAGUAUGUACAUGUAGAUAUGGUUAAAGUGACGAUGCAUAUAUGAUGAACAGAGAAUAGCAGUAGCGUAAAAGAGGGGUUGGCG
Long non-coding RNA from Oncorhynchus tshawytscha (Chinook salmon), 6038 nucleotides. The record is from Ensembl. NCBI's taxonomy places the organism in Eukaryota, Metazoa, Chordata, Actinopteri, Salmoniformes, Salmonidae.